This 505-nucleotide ribosomal RNA is filed under the name uncultured bacterium. Its description in RNAcentral is "bacterial SSU rRNA". It matches the Rfam family "Bacterial small subunit ribosomal RNA", at positions 19 to 518 of the family's 1533-position model. The record is from RNAcentral.
AUGGCUCAGGAUGAACGCUGGCGGCAGGCUUAAUACAUGCAAGUCGAACGGUAACAGAGCUAGCAAUAGCUGCUGACGAGUGGCGGAUGGGUGCGUAACGCGUAUGCAACCUACCUGUAAUUGGAACAUAACGUUGAGAAAUUAGCGCUAAUAUUCCAUGUGGAUAUGAGACGGCAUCGUUUUAUAUUUAAAGAUUAAUUGAUUACAGAUGGGCAUGCGUAUCAUUAGCUAGUUGGUAAGGUAACGGCUCACCAAGGCAACGAUGAUUAGGGGUUCUGAGAGGAUAUCCCCCCACACUGGAACUGAGACACGGUCCAGACUCCUACGGGAGGCAGCAGUAGGGAAUAUUGGGCAAUGGAGGCAACUCUGACCCAGCCAAUGCCGCGUGAAGGAAUACAGCCCUACGGGUUUUAAACUUCUUUUAUUAUAGAGUAACCGGAGGUACGUGUACCUCCCUGCAAGUAUAUAAUGAAUAAGGAUCGGCUAACUCCGUGCCAGCCGCUGC